GGUGCCAUAGUGUAGCGGUUAGCAUGUUUGCUUUACACACAGAAGGUCCUGGGUUCGCACCCCAGUGGAGCCA
Pteropus alecto (black flying fox) is the source of this 73-nucleotide non-coding RNA. The record is from Rfam. Lineage: Eukaryota; Metazoa; Chordata; Mammalia; Chiroptera; Pteropodidae.